UCACUCAUGUUUCUCUUCAUAUCGCAUAAAUCUUUCGCCUUUUACUAAAGAUUUCCGUGGAGAGGAACAACUUGAGUAUAAAACAAUUUUUUGAUGCCCUGCCACGUGCGGGGCU
Molecule: small nuclear RNA, 115 nt
Gene: U5
Rfam family: U5 spliceosomal RNA
About the family: U5 RNA is a component of both types of known spliceosome. The precise function of this molecule is unknown, though it is known that the 5' loop is required for splice site selection and p220 binding, and that both the 3' stem-loop and the Sm site are important for Sm protein binding and cap methylation.
Source: Ensembl